GAGUUGAAGUGUAGAUAUAGGCAGACAAGCAGGCCGGGGAUCAGUGCGAGCGUGAGUUGGAGCGUUAAACGUAAAAGAGGCAGUGUUCCGUGAGCGGCGGUUCAUCUCGGACGUGGUGUAUCGGUCGUGUAUGUGUUCGUCGUGCGAGCUAACCGCUGCGGCGAUAAUGCCAUUAACUCGGCGAGCUAGUAGCCAUCGAAUUUCCUGAGGCAGGUCUGCGAAAGCGCGCGACGACCAAGCGACUAAGCACGGACGAACGAGAGAGAAAGAGAGGGGACUGUAAAGUGAAACGCCCCGCCGAGAGGACGACGCCUUCGCUGGAAAAAGCACCUAGCAAGCGAGUUUAUCAGCGAGGGAGGCUGCUCGCCGCACGGACGGCACCUUCCAUAGAUCCAGAGAGAGAAAGAGAGAGAGAGAGAGUGAGGGACAAGUCCAGUCUCACAGUGACUGUUUACUUUGCGGUUGCCACGAAAGCUUCAAGCCUAACCUCCAUUAGGUAGCUUUGAAGAACGAAAGUCAUCUUCUGUCCAAGUAAUAAAAAGCACUUUGAUCAGAUCCGAGUAUACGUAGUCUGGGGUUUAUGCUGCGCGCACGAAUUUGGAAAAGCAGCGUCCUCUCGACGCCAGCAGCAAUAGCGGCAGUAGCACCACCACCACCACCACCACCACCACUACCACCACCACCACCACCACCACCACCAGUAGAAUCGACUGCCGCCUCCACGUUUCGGUAUUGAUCGAAUCUCUCCUGGCAGGACGUCGCGACGCAGUGCGAGCGCCGCCACUGCCGCUGCUAGUGCCCUACCAUUGGUGGAUCCUCCAUAGGAGUCCAAUCCUUUUGGCCGUAGCUGUUUUGCUGUUUCACGCGCGCACGCGUGUACAAAACCAGCCAACAAAAGAACAUCAAAGAAGCAGCACGAUGGAUGGCCAAUGGGAAAGGGAACACGUGCGAGUGACUGUAGAGUACACUAAUGACUGCUUCUUGGAAUUCUCCAUGUUGCGUUUUCUGAUCAGAAAAAUUCAUUGUCCAAAUGAAAUUCGGCUUUGUCGCCAACUGUCGGAUGGAUCUUGUAGCAGGAACAGCGACAGGCUUAGAUCUAAAAUCUUGUCCGCUCAGAAGAAACGAAGCGCGUACAAGUGUGACGUAACUGUGGCCAGCGGAGAAGUAUAACAGUCAUUGGCAAAAGGUUGCGCAGCUGCAAGAGAGACGCGUCGAGUUGCAGAAUUGCGGUAUGCGUGCGCGAGGCGACGCCUCAGCGGACCAGCUGCUCGUUUGCCCCUUCGUUCGGUCUCUCGCUCGCUCUUUCGCGCGCGCGCCCUGCAUGACCCGGAAGCCGCGUAUUCGGGUUAAGUGCGCGCUUCCGGCAACAGAACGCGCCGGGUGAUACGUGCAGCGCGUGCCUUCAUCGAUUACUAUGCGCGCUUGCAGAGAAAAAUAAUAAUAACACGACGACGGCACAGAUGGCAGCAACUCAUUUGCGGAAAAUGGUCGGAUCGAUGAAUGUAGCUUGGUAAGGAGUUGCGGGGCUAUCGACUGCUGCGGAAAUCUUGCUGAUUCGGCGCUUCAACCGGUUGACCCACUUACGCGCUCGAGCAAGUUCUGCCGUGAAAACACUAACUUUGCAGUCUCGCCAUGCCUACCUACCACUGUCGUACCUAUGCAAGUCGCCCUUUCCCGCCAUGGCUCUCCACUGCGCUCUGAAUAUUUACGAAGUAAUUACAAGUAAAUGCGCUCCUUUAAUGUAUCAAGUCGUCAAACACUAUACUCUUCUCGAAUAAAAAUAAGCAUCUCAUUGGCAAUUUGUAAAGAGCAUCAAUCCUGGAAGUAAAAAGUAAGAAAGCGAAAUAAGGAGACGAUGUCGUAAUUACUAGCUCGUUGUCUUUCAUUCAAUAAUCGUAUGUCACGCCUGACUCAUUCGCUGUCCUUUAACGGAUCCGAGAUCGAUCGGCCCUAAAUCGAUCUUCGCACUCCUUCUGCACACGUGCUGCUAUUUCCUGAGCACUCUAACUAAUAGCGAGAAAGCCCAGCUAAUUUUUGCUCGUUCACUCGCGUGUGCAAUCUAAUUGUGCCGAUUCGCAGGCGUGUAUCUCUUAAUUGCAAGCGAGACACUUUAACGGCAGAGCCGGGGGAUCGCACAGGAAGUGAGCGCGCGCUCGAAACUCAAGCUAAGCUAGAUCGCGUUCAUUCCGUAAAUACUUAGAUUUAUCUCAAGGCGAGAAGCGCCUAGCCCGCCUAAUAUAAAAAUCAAUUGGCAGUUUGCUGCCGCGGAGCUUUCUCCGUUUAGCGUUCAUCGAGGCGCGCACGUAUUCGCAUUGAGCAAACAGUGCGCGCUUCCCGCAUCCACUACGAGACUCUUAAUAAGGAUCGGACGCCGGAUAUUAUUCGCGCUUCGGCCUCCUCUUACCUUAAGCUGGCCCACGCGCAACGUAGCCGGUCGCGUGGGUGUCGCGAUCUAUCUACCUACUCUCCUUCUUUCUGCUCCUUUACUAUCAGUGCAUUCGGAUGAUCACGCGCUUGCUCUCGCCAACCGGCUUCUUUUGUAGAUUCAGUUUUGGCACGCUUGCAACACGUACAGUGGAAAUGUUGGAUCAACAAGUCAGAGUUUGUUGAGCCCGCGAGUAUUUUGGUCGAAUGCCGUCGAGACCAAACGAAACAAGACAAUCGGAUAGAUCGUCGGACCUUUGGUCUGCGUGGCGAGUGUUGGCACGGGAGACUCGCCGUGCUACCCAACGCGGAGACGCAACGUCUGACUAUUUACUGACGUCUCUAUAGAGAAAAUCUCUCGCUGGUUUACAUUAUCCUGAAGUUACCUCCCGUUGAAUAAUGCCGCAGCUCGCGUCUCUAAUUGAACUACAGCCGCGCGCGCCGAGGUCAGUCGACUUGUUCGGUGCAGUGUAAAAACUCGCCCCACACGCGAUACAUCUCCCUGUCGGGCCCCUC
Molecule: long non-coding RNA, 2940 nt
Organism: Phymastichus coffea
Lineage: Eukaryota; Metazoa; Arthropoda; Insecta; Hymenoptera; Eulophidae
Exons: 3
Source: RefSeq, a predicted model, not a curated record